ACAUAAAAAAUAAUUACAACAUGAUAGGUGUGCUGUAACCCAGACCUUUAAAAACGGCUGUGGCAACACAGCAGAGAGGCAGGCUGUCAGGGGAGUUCAGCAAGGCUUGGAUUUGAGCUGGGUCCUGAAAGAUGAGCACACAUUCCUGGGGUGCAAGAAGAAUGGAAGGGCAUUCCAGGUGGAGAACAACAUGUGCCAAGGUACGUGAAGGUCCUAUUAUGCAAGCCUGCCACCUAUUCAGGACCCCAAAUGUUCGUGAUUUACUGAUAAGGUAUAAACUCUCCGAUUUGUAAUCUAAUUCUCCUAAGAAAAGCUGCCUUCGAAGCAGUGAAAGCAGUGAGGAAAUCCAAGAAGCUGAAUCCACAGGCCAGGAUUAAAAGGAUGACUGCCCCCUCAGGAAUAAUAAUCACCAAGGAGUCUGAACACAAGAGCCCUUAUUUACAGAUUGGCGACUUGGUCCCUGGUGGAACGUGAACAUUGACCCAGCAUCUGUCAUCAUCAUCACAUCUUACAUCACCAGCAUUUCAACAUGGUUCUUUGGUUGUCACUUUAUUCUAUUUUUGUUCAGCUUCACGCUGCCAUCUUUAAAGCAGUGCACAGGUCAAGUGAACAGAAGCCACUUCUCAUGAAAGACACAAAGAGGUGAGCCCUUUGGGCACCUGGCAUGGUAGGCAGCAAGGAGCUGAGUGGUGGUUAAAACCACCAGUGCUGGGGGCAGUUCCCAUCGUGGCUCAGAGGAUGUAUCCAUGAGGAUGCAGGUUUG
Long non-coding RNA from Phacochoerus africanus (Common warthog), 763 nucleotides. RefSeq lists it as uncharacterized. The record is from RefSeq and is a predicted model, not a curated record. The transcript has 3 exons. Lineage: Eukaryota; Metazoa; Chordata; Mammalia; Artiodactyla; Suidae.